GACGAACGCUGGCGGCGUGCCUAAUACAUGCAAGUCGAGCGAAUUGACGAAGAAAGCUUGCUUUCUUCUGAUGUUAGCGGCGGACGGGUGAGUAACACGUGGGCAACCUGCCCUUUAGUUUGGGAUAACUUCGGGAAACCGGAGCUAAUACCGAAUAAUACUCUUUGACUCAUGUCAAAAAGUUGAAAGACGGUUUCGGCUGUCGCUAAAGGAUGGGCCCGCGGUGCAUUAGCUAGUUGGUGAGGUAACGGCUCACCAAGGCAACGAUGCAUAGCCGACCUGAGAGGGUGAUCGGCCACACUGGGACUGAGACACGGCCCAGACUCCUACGGGAGGCUG
RNAcentral lists this ribosomal RNA (339 nucleotides) under uncultured Bacillota bacterium. RNAcentral's name for it is "bacterial SSU rRNA". It matches the Rfam family "Bacterial small subunit ribosomal RNA", at positions 28 to 351 of the family's 1533-position model. Lineage: Bacteria; Bacillati; Bacillota. The record is from RNAcentral.